Molecule: ribosomal RNA, 492 nt
Filed under: uncultured bacterium
Lineage: Bacteria
Description: partial 16S ribosomal RNA
Rfam family: Bacterial small subunit ribosomal RNA
Source: RNAcentral
GAUGAACGCUAGCUACAGGCUUAACACAUGCAAGUCGAGGGGAAACGACAUCGAAAGCUUGCUUUUGAUGGGCGUCGACCGGCGCACGGGUGAGUAACGCGUAUCCAACCUGCCCAUCACUUGGGAAUAACCUUGCGAAAGUAAGACUAAUACCCAAUGAUAUCCCACGAAGGCAUCGGAAUGGGAUUAAAGAUUUAUCGGUGAUGGAUGGGGAUGCGUCUGAUUAGCUUGUUGGCGGGGUAACGGCCCACCAAGGCAACGAUCAGUAGGGGUUCUGAGAGGAAGGUCCCCCACAUUGGAACUGAGACACGGUCCAAACUCCUACGGGAGGCAGCAGUGAGGAAUAGUGGUCAAUGGGCGAGAGCCUGAACCAGCCAAGUAGCGUGCAGGAAGACGGCCCUAUGGGUUGUAAACUGCUUUUAUAAGGGAAUAAAGUGGGUCACGUGUGACUUUUUGCAUGUACCUUAUGAAUAAGAACCGGCUAAUUCCGUG